AAUGAUGUGCCUGAUUAAAGGAUUACUGUGAUAGAGUAAAUAAUGUAACCUCUUUACCUUCAUUG
Molecule: transfer RNA, 65 nt
Filed under: Orophyllus montanus
Lineage: Eukaryota; Metazoa; Arthropoda; Insecta; Orthoptera; Tettigoniidae
Description: tRNA-Ile
Source: RNAcentral